GAUAAGAACGCAGCGAAAUGCGAUAAGUAAUGUGAAUUGCAGAAUUCAGUGAAUCAUCGAAUCUUUGAACGCACAUUGCGCCCCCUGGUAUUCCGGGGGGCAUGCCUGUUCGAGCGUCAUUUCACCACUCAAGCCUCGCUUGGUAUUGGGCAACGCGGUCCGCCGCGUGCCUCAAAUCGACCGGCUGGGUCUUCUGUCCCCUAAGCGUUGUGGAAACUUUCGCUAAAGGGUGUUCGGGAGGCUACGCCGUAAAACAACCCCAUUUCUAAGGUUGACCUCGGAUCAGGUAGGGAUACCCGCUGAACUUAAGCAUAUCAAUAAGCGGAGGA
Molecule: unclassified non-coding RNA, 329 nt
Filed under: soil metagenome
Description: partial contains 5.8S ribosomal RNA, internal transcribed spacer 2, and large subunit ribosomal RNA
Rfam family: 5.8S ribosomal RNA (bases 4-119)
Source: RNAcentral